GUUUGUAGCUUUAGAGUCUAAAUAUUUGUUCUUGUUCAUAACCAAUAACUAGUCACCUAAUAAUGUACUGAAUUCUCCAAAGAUAGUCAGAGUAAAGACUUGUGGAAACAGAUUACACUCAUAGAUGUGUUUGAAAGAAGUUCAGGCUAUGAAACAGAGGGUCAUAAAACAAGCUUUGGUCUACAUGAUUUGCAAAGACAACUUGCCUCUAUCUUGGGUGGAAAAAUCAGGAUUGAAAAAAUUGAUGAGCGUCAUUUGUCCACGCUAUAAGGUUCCAUCACGAACUACAAUAACGGGCUUAAUGGAACAACGAUAUCCCACUACCAAAGCCAUUGUAAAACAAAAACUAAGUGAGAUAAAUAAUAUUGCUUUAACAAGUGAUAUAUUAACUCUCAUGAACUCGACACGAAGUUUCAUCGUAGUAACAGCGCAUUUUCUUAACACAGCAAAUAACUGCACUCCUGAAUCUGAACAUGAGAUGGUGACAUUGACAGCACGAAGAAUGUAUCAGGCACACACUGCUGAUUAUAUAAAAGAAUGCUUUGAAAAUAUUACCGACGAGUUUUCAAUAGAAAAGGGUUGCAUCUUAUCAAUUACCACUGAUGGUGGUGCUAACAUGGUUGCUGCAGUGAAGAAAUUUUUGGAAGACGGAAAAAGAAUUCCUUGCAUCGCACAUUUGUUGAAUUUAAUAGUGGAUGGCGCAACAAGAGAUAAUCCACCAGUUCUUCAAAUUGCCAAUCGUGUCAAAGCCAUUGUAACAUAAUUCAAACAAUCUGUGAACGCAAUGGAUGAUUUGCGAGCAGAACAAGAGGGACAAAAGAAGGAGGGAGAAGUAUUAACACUUAUACAAUCAGUAAGCACAAGGUUGAAUUCUUGUCUUGAUAUGUUGGAAAGAUUCAAUACAUUAUCAGCUAUUAUGGCAAGCUACUGAAGAAAUUAGCGGCGAUCAGUACGUGACUUCAAGUUUGGUGAUUCCCAUUGCAAACUUACUUCAGAAAGGCCUUGAACAAAUAAAACCUUUCACCGCAUUUGGUUUCGCUGUUCAGAAGAGUUUGCUAAAUUUAGUUAUUGCCAAACUAGAACCACUAGAGCGACAUUUACAUUUGGCCAAAGCAACAAUUUUAGACCCACGCCAUAAGCGUAUUCAUUUUAGUUCAGCGCUAGCUAUUUCCACUGCAAUAACCGCACUGUCAAAAGAAAUACGUUUAGAACAUAGACGUAGAGAACAACUUUCGCCUAAACUCUGACCAACUCCCACUACCAUAAUUACAAAUUCAGAAAAUUCUUCGCCGUCGUUGUGGCCCGGAUAUGAAAAAAUUAUGAUAGAUAUUGCUGCAGCUUCAGCAAACUCUUUACUUUCAACUUCAACCAGUGAUGGUGAGCCUAUCGAACUAAAGCAAUAUCUACAUCAGCCUAUAGUACCCAGAAAAGAGAAUCCUACAAAAUUCUGGUUUGAUUGUCGUCAUUUUACCCCAGUCCUUUCCGACAUAGCUCUAAAGUAUUUGAUAUCGCCUGCGUCCUCGGUUUCCUCAGAGAGAGUGGCAUCUGCGGUGAAUCUCGCAGUACCCAAUAACAGAAGUCGGCUUACAGCCGAGCACGUAAAUCAAAGAGUUU
This 1614-nucleotide unclassified non-coding RNA is filed under the name Bactrocera tryoni. RNAcentral describes it as "uncharacterized LOC120768462, transcript variant X2". Lineage: Eukaryota; Metazoa; Arthropoda; Insecta; Diptera; Tephritidae. The record is from RNAcentral.